Molecule: long non-coding RNA, 527 nt
Organism: Vicia villosa (hairy vetch)
Lineage: Eukaryota; Viridiplantae; Streptophyta; Magnoliopsida; Fabales; Fabaceae
Exons: 2
Source: RefSeq, a predicted model, not a curated record
GAUUUAUUGGUUACUUGCAAAUUAAUGAUACAAAAAUAUGAAUGAAAUAUUAAAAAUUAUUUAUGCUUUAAUUAUCUGGAGUUCCCUAAUUCUUUUUGUAGCCAGUCAUAGUUUUCUUCCAUGUGAAACUAUUGAAGAUUGUAAAGAUGAUAUUUGUCCUUUUCCUCAAAUACCAAUGUGUUACUUGAAUGCAUGUCAUUGCGCACCGCCAUCAGGCUACGAUCCAUGUGAUAAGGGUUGUUGUAUUACUUGCUAGCAUGUCAUUGCACGUUGGGAAUGAUCUAUAAUCAAUGUGAUAAGGGUUGUUGCCCAACUAAAUAUUGAACCUUGCUUAUUUAUGGAAUAUAAUUCUAUAUUAUAACUUUAUAUACAAAAUUGUACUAAUUAUUUGUAAAGAACAAGUAUUGGAGGGUUCAGGGCCGACCCAACAUAUAUUGUGGUCUGAGGUGAAUCUUAAAAUGAGACUUUUUAAAUUAAAAUUAAUUUUUAAUUAAAAUUUUAUUUUACGAGCUUUUUGAGAUGCAAAA